ACAGCCACAUCACAUUGAGACACUGGUUCCCAUAUGAUCACUGAAGUUAAGCAACAUCAAGUUUAGUCAGUAGCUAAAUGAGUGACUGCUUGGGAAUAUCAGGUGCUGUAAG
Acanthosepion pharaonis is the source of this 112-nucleotide non-coding RNA. Lineage: Eukaryota; Metazoa; Mollusca; Cephalopoda; Sepiida; Sepiidae. The record is from the annotation of a GenBank genome assembly.